This 409-nucleotide ribosomal RNA is filed under the name uncultured Pelotomaculum sp. RNAcentral describes it as "bacterial SSU rRNA". It matches the Rfam family "Bacterial small subunit ribosomal RNA", at positions 977 to 1382 of the family's 1533-position model. Lineage: Bacteria; Bacillati; Bacillota; Clostridia; Eubacteriales; Desulfotomaculaceae. The record is from RNAcentral.
AGGCUUGACAUCCCCUGACCGCGUAUGAAAGUUACCGUUUUCACCCUCGGGUGACAGGGAGACAGGUGGUGCAUGGUUGUCGUCAGCUCGUGUCGUGAGAUGUUGGGUUAAGUCCCGCAACGAGCGCAACCCCUACGUUUAGUUGCUAACAGGUGAAGCUGAGCACUCUAGACGAACUGCCGUUGACAAAACGGAGGAAGGUGGGAUGACGUCAAAUCAUCAUGCCCCUUAUGUUCUGGGCUACACACGUGCUACAAUGGCCGGUACAGACGGAGGCGAAGCCGCGAGGCGGAGCAAAUCCGAAAAAGCCGGUCUCAGUUCGGAUUGCAGGCUGCAAUUCGCCUGCAUGAAGUCGGAAUCGCUAGUAAUCGCAGGUCAGCAUACUGCGGUGAAUACGUUCCCGGGCCUU